UCUAGAACUUGAGAUAUAGGUUUAACACUGAAUAGUAUUCGGGCUACAGAACAGAUUCAGAUGUUUUUUUGUUGCUAAGAUUUGAACUUCAAAACAGCAGUAUUGAAUCUUAAACUCUUCAUCAAUAUUUUAGGCCUAUGUCAUAACUUUCCAUC
Populus trichocarpa (black cottonwood) is the source of this 155-nucleotide non-coding RNA. Lineage: Eukaryota; Viridiplantae; Streptophyta; Magnoliopsida; Malpighiales; Salicaceae. The record is from Rfam.